GAUGAACGCUGGCGGUAUGCUUAACACAUGCAAGUCGAACGGACUCUUCGGAGUUAGUGGCGGACGGGUGAGUAACGCGUGAGAAUCUGGCUUUGGGUUCGGGACAACCACUGGAAACGGUGGCUAAUACCGGAUGUGCCGAGAGGUAAAAGAGAAAUUGCCUGAAGAUGAGCUCGCGUCUGAUUAGCUAGUUGGUGAGGUAAAGGCUCACCAAGGCAGCGAUCAGUAGCUGGUCUGAGAGGAUGACCAGCCACACUGGGACUGAGACACGGCCCAGACUCCUACGGGAGGCAGCAGUGGGGAAUUUUCCGCAAUGGGCGAAAGCCUGACGGAGCAAUACCGCGUGAGGGAAGAAGGCUCUUGGGUUGUAAAUCUCUUUUCUUAGGGAAGAACAAAAUGACGGUACCUAAGGAAUCAGCAUCGGCUAACUCCGUG
RNAcentral lists this ribosomal RNA (435 nucleotides) under uncultured bacterium. Its description in RNAcentral is "partial 16S ribosomal RNA". It matches the Rfam family "Bacterial small subunit ribosomal RNA", at positions 28 to 507 of the family's 1533-position model. The record is from RNAcentral.